UUGAUUGAUUCAAUCGUGGACUCGGACGCACAGAUGCAGGGUUGGGGGGGUCCACCGGGGGCCCCGACGCCCGAAGGCCGGGUCGCCCCCGAGGCAACGGUGGUCGGAUAACAGGGGGUUGGAGGUCGGGCCCGGGGGCCCUCGCUCGGUAAUGAUCCCUCCGCAGGUUCACCUACGGAGA
RNAcentral lists this unclassified non-coding RNA (181 nucleotides) under uncultured fungus. Its description in RNAcentral is "sequence contains ITS1". The record is from RNAcentral. Lineage: Eukaryota; Fungi.